UAAUUUAAACAGUGUUUAAACAUAACUUUGAAUUGUCUUAGGGCAAAAUUAAGCGUGUGCGCGCGUUUUUUGUGAAGAAAUGCAUUUUUUUGACAGUAUAUCAAUGUUAACUUCAUUAAUAGCUUUUGAACAUUCUCUUGACACUCUUGAAACAAAUAUGCACUAAAAAAUUCACCUCCACAGGUCUAAAGAUAUGUAAAAUUGUUUCAUUCAGAAUUAGAUUAGAAGCGGAGGAGAGAUUCAAGGAGCCCCUCACCUAAACCUCAUUCACCGAAAUCUGGUUCUACGUUGAGGAGGACAGGGAGCAAGUCCCCCACACCUGGUUGUUCAUCCUGGAUAGCGUCAGCUUCUGGUGGUUGUUGUGGAACACCAAAGAGGGGGAAUCCCUCUUGGAGGGAUAGAUCGCCGACGUCCCCACCCUCUGUUGUGUUCCCAAGAUUGGGUGCCAGAGCGGAUGCUAACGAGUUUUGUCUAUCCAGAACUGAGAGGAAUGGGAGAACCUGCAGAAUAUGCGACAGGAUGAUACCUCGCAGGGGCAUUUUGUUAUCUUCCAACAACCGGAAGGGGAAAUAUGUCUGCAACAACUGCUGGUUUUUCCCUGAUGUCCUGCCAAGAGGGAGUGUUGUAAUGCUAGGAAACAAGGUAGAUUUUGAGGAUGAAGAUUAUCAGAGGCUCGCGAAUGUUCGAAAGGAUAUAAAGUUUUACAGAAAUGGACAGAACUGAAACCCUGGAGAUAGCCGUUCAUUGACUGAAAUUAAAAGUCUGCAGACAUUUCUCCUGUAUACCUGUCAACUAUACAUUACAUUUAAUUUCAGAAAAAAUGAAACCUAAAAAGCAGUGCUUUUUGUGUGGAGAUCUGCUUGGUGUGACAUCGUUAGGCCGGCAUAUGUCCACGAAACAUCAUCUGAAUUUUAAACUGC
Molecule: long non-coding RNA, 920 nt
Organism: Eurytemora carolleeae
Lineage: Eukaryota; Metazoa; Arthropoda; Copepoda; Calanoida; Temoridae
Exons: 7
Source: RefSeq, a predicted model, not a curated record